CCUACGGGAGGCAGCAGUGGGGAAUAUUGCACAAUGGGCGAAAGCCUGAUGCAGCGACGCCGCGUGCGGGAAGAAGGCCUUCGGGUUGUAAACCGCUUUCAAUUGGGAAGAAGAGAUGAGCGCUAAUAUCGCUCUGAUUUGACGGUACCUUUAGAAGAAGCACCGGCUAAUUUCGUGCCAGCAGCCGCGGUAAUACGAAAGGUGCAAGCGUUGUUCGGAUUUACUGGGCGUAAAGAGAUCGUAGGUGGUUUGUUAAGUCGGAUGUGAAAUCCCAAGGCUCAACCUUGGAACUGCAUUCGAUACUGGCAGGCUAGAGUUUGGGAGGGGUAAGCGGAAUUCCGUGUGUAGCAGUGAAAUGCGUAGAUAUACGGAGGAACACCUGAGGCGAAGGCGGCUUACUGGACCAAUACUGACACUGAGGAUCGAAAGCGUGGGUAGCAAACAGGAUUAGAUACCCUGGUAGUCCACGCCCUAAACGAUGUCAACUAGCCGUAGCGGGUAUCGACCUCUGCUGUGGCGAAACUAACGCGAUAAGUUGACCGCCUGGGGAGUACGGUCGCAAGAUUAAAACUCAAAGGAAUUGACGGA
This 588-nucleotide ribosomal RNA is filed under the name Zetaproteobacteria bacterium S1. Its description in RNAcentral is "bacterial SSU rRNA". It matches the Rfam family "Bacterial small subunit ribosomal RNA", at positions 338 to 917 of the family's 1533-position model. The record is from RNAcentral. Lineage: Bacteria; Pseudomonadati; Pseudomonadota; Candidatius Mariprofundia.